GCGGGUGUGGUGGAAUUGGUAGACGCGCGAGGUUUAGGUCCUCGUGUCCGAAAGGACGUAGGGGUUCAAGUCCCUUCACCCGCACAA
Molecule: transfer RNA, 87 nt
Filed under: Fidelibacterota bacterium
Lineage: Bacteria; Pseudomonadati; Fidelibacterota
Description: tRNA-Leu
Rfam family: tRNA
About the family: Transfer RNA (tRNA) molecules are approximately 80 nucleotides in length. Their secondary structure includes four short double-helical elements and three loops (D, anti-codon, and T loops).
Source: RNAcentral